AAUUAAACUAAUUUCUGUUUUUUAAUUGUUUUUCUGGGUGUGAAAUGCAGUCCUGAUGAUACUCCUUGGGAUGGAGGUGAGUUGUACUUUCCUUGCAUUUUAACACUGGCCUAAAAGAAUGCCUGAACUCAGUAGUUUGAGAUAUGCUGUUAGCUUGCUCAUAGUUUUGUCUAAUUUUAUGUGUGCUUGUCUAUGCUAGUAUGGUGUAAACACUGGCCUAAAAGAAUGUCUAAACUCAGUAGUUUGAAAUAUGCUGUUAGCUUGCUCAUAGUUUUUUCUAAUUUUAUGUGUGAUUGUGGUGUUUCGAUUUUCUAAGUCUAUACUUUUUCUGUCAUCUAAUUUGUCAUUUAUGUUCUCAUGCCCUCUGUCCACCCACACGCAAUAAUAAAAAUAAGAAUAUGAAGGAAAAGAGGAAGAGAAGAACAAGUGCAGUUGUAAGUUUUAUUAAAAUCAGUCAGCAAUGGUUGUGCCUCGUGCACUAGUUUUUUAAGAUCAUAUUCUCAAGUGCUCUGAUGGCAAGAAUUUAUUUCUUUGAUCUUCCGAUCCGAGCUUUUUUGUCAUGCCAUUUCUAUGUUUUUCCACCUUGUUAUCUGUCAUCAUUCUAUUGCUUGACGCCAAAUGCAAGUUAGUGAGUGAGGAAGUGUUGCAACCUUUAUCUUCUAUGCUAUGCUGCAAUGGGUUCUCUGCAUUUGGUCAAACUCUGGUGUAGGUGAUUUAGCUGUUUGUGCAGCGCAGCUGGGCUGAUCCACGUGCUUAGCUUUUAGAAAUAUGCAUCUUGUCUUAUUCUUGCCUAAUCUUGUGACAAAGGAUCUUAUUUGCCUGCUGUUGAACCAAAAAAUAUCCUCUAGUGGGCGUUUCACGUGGUUACAUUUGUUUGGACUGACCAAGAAAUGCAUUACACAUUUGAAGCAAUUCGAAUUUUGUGCUAUCCCUUCUGGCGUGUUUGUUAUUUGCUCCACAGAAGAAAAGACUACAUUCUAAACCUUUUCCUGAAUGAAUUAUGUGUUAAAAUCUUCUUUCCCUGACAUGAAUUCGCUAUUUGAUCUAUCACAAAACCAUCUGAUAACAUCAGGUACGUUUAAAUGACGCUUCAAUUCUCCGAGGAUUAUCCGAACAAGCCACCAAC
Molecule: long non-coding RNA, 1126 nt
Filed under: Nicotiana benthamiana
Lineage: Eukaryota; Viridiplantae; Streptophyta; Magnoliopsida; Solanales; Solanaceae
Description: long non-coding RNA (NBEN_LNC029888)
Source: RNAcentral